AACGAACGCUGGCGGCAGGCCUAACACAUGCAAGUCGAGCGAGGACUUCGGUCCUAGCGGCGGACGGGUGAGUAACGCGUGGGAACGUGCCCUUUGCUUCGGAAUAGCCCUGGGAAACUGGGAGUAAUACCGGAUGAGCCCUUUGGGGGAAAGAUUUAUCGGCGAAGGAUCGGCCCGCGUUGGAUUAGGUAGUUGGUGGGGUAAUGGCCUACCAAGCCGACGAUCCAUAGCUGGUUUGGGAGGAUGAUCAGCCACACUGGGAAUGAGACACGGCCCAGACUCCUACGGGAGGCAGCAGUGGGGAAUCUUAGACAAUGGGGGAAACCCUGAUCUAGCCAUGCCGCGUGAGCGAUGAAGGCCUUAGGGUUGUAAAGCUCUUUCAGCUGGGAAGAUAAUGACGGUACCAGCAGAAGAAGCCCCGGCUAACUCCGUG
This 433-nucleotide ribosomal RNA is filed under the name uncultured bacterium. RNAcentral's name for it is "partial 16S ribosomal RNA". It matches the Rfam family "Bacterial small subunit ribosomal RNA", at positions 29 to 507 of the family's 1533-position model. The record is from RNAcentral.